GACGAACGCUGGCGGCGUGCUUAACACAUGCAAGUCGAACGGAAAGACCCUGCUUUUGUGGGGUGCUCGAGUGGCGAACGGGUGAGUAACACGUGAGUAACCUGCCCUUGACUUUGGGAUAACUUCAGGAAACUGGGGCUAAUACCGGAUAGGAGCUCCUGCUGCAUGGUGGGGGUUGGAAAGUUUCGGCGGUUGGGGAUGGACUCGCGGCUUAUCAGCUUGUUGGUGGGGUAGUGGCUUACCAAGGCUUUGACGGGUAGCCGGCCUGAGAGGGUGACCGGCCACAUUGGGACUGAGAUACGGCCCAGACUCCUACGGGAGGCAGCAGUGGGGAAUAUUGCACAGUGGGCGGAAGCCUGAUGCAGCAACGCCGCGUGCGGGAUGACGGCCUUCGGGUUGUAAACCGCUUUCGCCUGUGACGAAGCGUGAGUGACGGUAAUGGGUAAAGAAGCACCGGCUAACUACGU
RNAcentral lists this ribosomal RNA (467 nucleotides) under uncultured bacterium. RNAcentral describes it as "partial 16S ribosomal RNA". It matches the Rfam family "Bacterial small subunit ribosomal RNA", at positions 28 to 506 of the family's 1533-position model. The record is from RNAcentral.